CCCUACGGGGCGCAGCAGUAGGGAAUCUUCCACAAUGGGCGAAAGCCUGAUGCAGCAACGCCGCGUGAAGGAAGACGGUUUUCGGAUUGUAAACUUCUAUCAAUAGGGAAGAAAGAAAUGACGGUACCUAAAUAAGAAGCCCCGGCUAACUACGUGCCAGCAGCCGCGGUAAUACGUAGGGGGCAAGCGUUAUCCGGAAUUACUGGGUGUAAAGGGAGAGUAGGCGGCAAGGUAAGCGAUAUGUGAAAGCCUUAAGCUUAACUUAAGGAUGGCAUAACGAACUAUCUAGCUAGAGUACAGGAGAG
RNAcentral lists this ribosomal RNA (305 nucleotides) under uncultured bacterium. RNAcentral describes it as "bacterial SSU rRNA". It matches the Rfam family "Bacterial small subunit ribosomal RNA", at positions 337 to 656 of the family's 1533-position model. The record is from RNAcentral.